CCCCAGACAGGGGCAAUCCAGGAUAAAGAGAAGACGGUGCCAGAGUCAUGCCAGCCGGGAUUGUUCUCUCGCCCCGGAUUCACUACAGAACUAAGAGUCCCCCAUGCUGGUCCUCUCAGGCCAUCUGGAGUUGGGAAAAGCAGACGGAAGCAAGGCCAGGCCCCCUGUCGACGAUGCACCCUUCCCGUGGCUGCCAGAAAAUCUCUCGAGGUGGAAAUCUGCUCACAUAUCUCCCUGCCCACCGUCCACCAUGGGCUUCUGCCUGCCUGGGGGGAAAAAACCCCUGUCCUUAUCUGGGUGAACCAGGGCCCUCCAUACUCUGUCCUGCCCGGAAGCACAUUUCUCUCCCUCCCCUCCGGUCUUACAGCCCAAGCCCUGUCACGCCAACCUUCUCUGCAUUCGGGGAACGCAGUAUAUCCUUCCCAAACUUCUCCCUUGGCACAUGCUGUGCCCUCUUUCUGGAAUGCCCUUCCCUUCUGCCUUGGGCAAGGGCAGAGGUGGCAGGGAGGAGGUUUGGAUAUCCCAUGGAGUUUGGGCUGGAUCCUUUUGCCUGGUGAUUCUCAAACAUUGUCACGUGACAAAGCUCCUAUAACACACCGGUCCUUUUCAGGACACCACAGACUCUUGAUACUUUUAAGAGACAGGCCUCUUUGAUACAGGACUGCCAUGUUCCUUAGGCACACACAGCUCUCGACACAUAUAUGAUGUUUUUAAUAAAACACACUUCCAAGUUGUUCA
This is a long non-coding RNA of Herpailurus yagouaroundi (jaguarundi), 738 nucleotides long. RefSeq lists it as uncharacterized. The record is from RefSeq and is a predicted model, not a curated record. NCBI's taxonomy places the organism in Eukaryota, Metazoa, Chordata, Mammalia, Carnivora, Felidae. The transcript has 3 exons.